Passer domesticus (house sparrow) is the source of this 7527-nucleotide long non-coding RNA. RefSeq lists it as uncharacterized. The record is from RefSeq and is a predicted model, not a curated record. Lineage: Eukaryota; Metazoa; Chordata; Aves; Passeriformes; Passeridae. The transcript is spliced from 3 exons.
ACAGUAGUUAUGGCAGGACAGAACUCUCAUUUGCUGUUGACUGUUGUUAAUCUUCAGUUCAAAAAUGACACAAAUAUAUAAGAGUCAUUCCUGUCUCUGCUGUGGAUCCUCCACUUGGAGGAAGCCUCAGAGGUAGGUCCCUGGAGGGCAGCUCAAGCUGCAGACCUGCUUUGUGUCACUGACACAAGAGUGUGUGCAAAACAAGUACACCCAAAGCUCUGUGCCCCAGCCUGAGCCAAAGCUCUUCUGUGCACACUCUGUGCUCUCCUGUACAACAGAGAGCUGCUUGCAGGGCUGAUGUUCCUUCCCACCACCAUCCCAGGUGCAGCUAGCCCUUUCCUUUCAGGAAUGUAACCCCCUCAAACAAGAAAGGGAGGAAUAGCCUGUCCAGGAGAUACCUAAGAGGAUCAAAUUAAGAGAAAGGAACCUCUCAAGAUUCUGCUGUGCUUUUGACCUAUUAUCUUACCUCUCCUUCAUAGUGGCUUCUACUUUGGGGCAGGGCUUCGUAAUGGCCAUUUGGUGCUCAGGUCUCCAUCCGUGCUGUGGGCAACCUGUACAGUGCCUGUGGAAGCAGGAUUCAUUGGCAUCCCAGCUGGCCCAGGUUUUGUCCUGCUGCCCUUUGCCUGCCAAGGAUGUUCUGUGUGCCCCAAAUAAUGUAUGAGGCUGGGUAGGGAGAAAGGAUCUCCAAAAACAGCAUCCUGAAAUGCUAGACUGCACUUCUUGGCCAGGCAUUUCCACCUUACACAGAAAGUGGGAACUAGAUUCUUAAAUGCCUUGAAUGAGGUGUUUGCAAUUCAUAAAACUUUUUGAGAUUCUUCACCAUUUGCCUUUUCAUGUUUUUGUUCAUUGUGCAGAAAAGAACAUUCAAUUUUUAAGCAGACAAGGAGUGUGUAUGUUGUUAAGUAAAAAAUGUAUUAAAUAUUUCAUCAAGGGGAGUAUUUUAAUAGGCACUUAGGGUUUCAUGUGCUGCUUACUUUUGAUAGCUUAGAUGAAAACUGUUUCUUGAGGGAAAUUGUGAUCUUCUUUUGCCAAGACAAAACGUCUCUCAGCCCAAGUCGUUACAUUUGUUUGUCCAUGGCCCUGAUCAGACAGGUAGUGACACUAGUUCAUAAAUUGAUGUUUAUAUCAGCAGCCUGAUGAAAGACCAGAGCCCACAAGCUUUAAAUAUUGACCAUGACACUAAAUUUCAGAAGCUGUGCUAUUAAUAUAAUGGUCAUUUUCAUAUGCAACUAAUUAAAAGUUGUCAUAGGUAUGUGGAAUGAUACCUGGUCCAAACAAAGGCAGUGCUGAACUUCACAAACAUUUGGGGCUAGAUCCUCAUUGGAGUAAUCUGUGUUUCAUACCCUCACCUCAUUAUGCCUGUAUUUGAUAGAUUUCUAUGGCAGUUAAUGGUGGGCUGUGUUUAGACAUUUGCAUAUGACUUAAUGUUAAGCUAUUUCCAUACAGAGCACGGUGCAUAGGAAUACAGUCUGCUCUUUGGAGCCUGAUAAAAUGCCAGGGAGCUUGUAGGUGUGAUGCAAUGUACCUGUGAUCAGGGAUGGCUGAAUCAGGGAUUGAAAAUGAGCUGUCAGGGAAGAUGUCAUGAAAGCAGGCUCAGCCUACAGUGCCAGCUCAUCUAACCUUUGGCUGCAGGGGGAAAAGGGAGGAACACGUUCUCCCAUGGUUUAGUAACUAAAAUGACUUCAUUAGCACCUGCAAAAAUGAGAAAUAAAAAGCAGUCUGUUUCUGGUAUUCCUUUUCCUCCAUAAAUCAAAAGGUAUUUUUGGAGGAUUACAGUCCUACAGAUUAAGUGGUUUGACAUAAAAUAAUUUUGUUGCAAGUUGUGAAGUGAGAAGUGCAGAAAGGAAAUUUCUGUUCUUUUUCUUUACCAAAGAUUGUUGUCCUCCUUCUUGGCUGUGCAGAGAGGAUAAUUCAGACACAAUGGGCUUGUUUCCCUCCUAAAGGGAGCAGCACAAAUCAAUAAUUCUACCAGGGUCAGGACUCAUCUGCAUGGGAAGUCAGACUGCUGUAAUUAUAACUGUAUUGCUGCAGUUAUGCCGUAUAAUCUCUCGUGUAUCCUCUUAUUAAAGAGUGACUUCUUUUCAGCUUAGUUUAAACUACCUCUUCUGAUGUUAAGAAACAUCAACUGUGUUGAAAAUGGCCAUGGUUCAUAUUGGAAGAGAAAUACUCACAUGGGGAAUUAAGUUGACAGCAUGAUUAAUUAAAUUCACACCUUCUUUAUAGUGGUGUAAUUCCCCUUUUCUGUGGUUAAUGUCAGGUUCAAGGCAGUGUUAAUACUUCUUUCAGCCUUUUUAAACUUCUGUGAGCCUGCUUUUUUUAAACUUUAGAGCCUGCUGCUAAUGAGCUGCCCAAGCAGAAAAGCUGAUUUCUGAUAUUUUAACAGGAAGGUGCUUUCUGCUGCUACAGCCAGGGCUGGGCAAAGCCAGAAGUCAGUGGUGUAAUCCUGUCCAUGAGACCUCAAAGCAGUGAGAGUGUCCCAUAAACAUUAUUGUUCCCACUUUUACAUCCUAGUUUAUUUGUGCCUUAAAAAAUCAGAUAUUGGCUCUACUGAUGCUGAUGGCAGAAAUUGGAGAGGGUUGGAGUGAGACAGGCUUUUGCCCAGAGAGAACAGAGCAUUUCUCCAGGAGUUAUCUUUGUCUGGUUCCCAGCCCUGUGUUCACUGCAUCAAGCAAUGGUUUUUGUUGAAAAGAAUGAGUGAAUUCUGUAACUCUUCCCCCAUGAGAUUGGUUUAGUUUUAUCAUCUCCAACAGGAUGCAACCAUAUGCACAGAAACUGGCUCAAGUCUCUGCACGAAGGUUGAGCUUGAGCUGGUAAUAAGGACUGACUUUUAGCCCCGGGGACAUUUCUCCUUGUUUGUCAUGACCUGCUACACCUCAGAAACCAGAAUGAUCCCCCUUCCAUUUCUCAAUCAGACUGGGAAAAAGAUGCAAUAUUGUCAGAUAUUAUAGUCAGCAGUUUCGGUGCCAGAAGGGCUGUUCUUAAGCAAAUUCUCCUUGGCUUGGCAGCGUGUGCGCUAUGCCAUUGGUGGUGACCUGCCCUGAGGACAGAGUCCACUGCUGGCUGGUGGCAGUGCUUGGAUAUCAACCCUCCUCCCUCUUCCUGGGAGCAAUCCUCCCUGUCAGGAUGGAGCUCCAGCAACAGUCCUUAAUGGAAGGGUUUCUUCCUCAGGAAUUUAAGAGGUGAGGUUCAAAAUUUGCAGUAUUGUGUCGGCUGAUUUUAGCAUGCUAGGUUUGCAUUAUUAUUAUUAUUAUUCAUCUUCCUUUGUUUUUUAAGAUAGAAGACCAGGAGUUGCUUUAAUAAAGGAGAUGUCCUUGGCACCAGGAUAGCCUUUACCACAAGAGACACAGUCCAGCCAUUAUCUUGUCCAGUCAUAAUCCAGUCUAGCCACAGCAAUACUCAGCCAGCUGCCUCAUAAAAUUGCAGUUCAGAGGUCAGAAAGACUCACAAGAAACAAAUUUAGGGUACAAGAAGAGCGAGGUAGAAGAGGAGAAUGAAACUAAGUAAUAAAAUUUUGCAAAAUUCAAGAACAUUUUCUACUUUCUACCUGUCCUUCAGGUGGGGCAGGGAUGCUGUGUUAGCAGCAGGAGGAACCUCUGGAGAGCAAAGUGUCCGAGCUCUGCUCAGUCAGGGUCACCCACAGCAGGUCACAUAGGACUGUGUCCAGUUGGGUUCUGAGGAUCUCCAAGGAUGGAGAUUUCACAGUCUGUUCAUGAUUCAACCACUCUUACAGUCAGAGAAGCCUUUCUAUUUUGUUUAAACCUAUUUUCCUGUGUUUCAGUCUGUGCCUAAUGCCUCUGGUCCUGUCUCUGGGUGCCAUGGAGAAGAGCCUGGCUCUGUGCUCUUUGCUCCCUCCCCUGCAGGUAGUCAAACACAUUAAUAGGAUCCUGCUGAGCCCUCUCUUCCCCAGGCUGACCAGUCCCACCUCUCAGCUUCUGCUCAAGUGAUGGUUGCUCCAGCCCCUUCAUCACCAUUGUGGCCCUCACUGGAUUUGCUGCAGAGUGUCAACAUCCUCCUUGUGCUGGAGAGUUUCCCAGCUUCCAGCUUCUGUAACAGCAGCAUGGGUUUUGCCUACAAUUCCUCUAUGUGCUGUCAAGGAAUAAAAAAGCUAUUGCUCAGCAGAGUAAUUUUUCAAAGGAAUUCGUUCAUUGCUGAGGCCGUUUUAGGCUUAAAUUUAAUUUUGGUGUGGGAGUGAGUCAAAAGUUGUCUGUGUAAUAGCUGCACUGAGAUACACAACCUCACACAGGUACUUCAUGGGUUUGUUGACUGUACAUCUGUACACAAAUAACCAAAGCACUAAUAAUGUCUGCAAAGGAAUGGAGGCCAUUUGGAAACCUAUAUAAUUUUGAUGGAGCAUAAAAUGGAGAAUAUUUUUUCGCUGGCCAUGUGCUUUAUCAGACUAGUCCAUUUUAGUCAUCCUUGCAUAGACUUUGAUCUUUUACAAAUGUACUUGAUAUUCAAAUUAUUUUGCCAGUGGUUAAGUAAAUACAUUUCCUCUUAGACUUUGCUUGUGUUCCCAAGAUAAUCCAUUGUUCAUGCUGCAGGAAAAGUCACCCAGCUCAUACAAUGUGAUUUUUGCUUUCUGUGCAUCUGACUGACAGUUCUUUCAUGCAUUUCAGUUUGGCCAAGCACACACUGCCUGAAAGCCACACAAUUAAUGUCUGUUUCCAGAAGUAUUUAUGAUGCUUUUCUGGUGGAUGCAUUAGCAAAAAGUUAGUUACUAGAAACAUUAGUUGAAAGUGAACAAAGUCCUUAGCAUGUCAUCUAAGCAUCAAAAAAUGGACAUGGGAUAUGAUCCAAGCAACACAUACCUGUCACAGCUGUAAGAGCUCCCUUUUAUUGCAAAACAAAGCAUCAGUGACUGUCGUGAUUCUCACCUGGGCCCUACCAGAGCAGUCCCAGAGCUCUCUCACAUCUGUGCUCUCUUUGAACAGCACCACAGCUCUUGCACCUGGCUCACCAGCUGGCCAAAGUCAGUCUUGUCAGUGGCCAAUUGUAACAACACAGAUAUAGUGAUGCCCACAUUUAUUCCAAUUUUUUUUCCAGUACAAAAGGUAGAUAUCUCUGUAUCCAGUAAGACUAUUAAGAUUUAAAGAUUAACCUUGAGUCAUUUAUGAACAUACAUGUAAAAAUGAGAAGGUUUAUUCCUGAAAAAUUCACUGUUACCAUAUAAAAGAGAGGCACUAUAAUGUAAUCAUCUCCAAAAGAAAAAAGAUAGUGUUUCUCCAUUGUCAGGGUUGGGAAGGAGAAAAGAAUUUCAUUAUAUGGCUUUAUUAUAUGAUUAUGUGAAUCAGCAAUCCAGUGUCUUUGUGGACAAAAGUGUCUCUUCUGUGGAAAUAUGUAAAUGUUUCCUUUUCCACUUUUGUAAUAGAAAGAAGUAUUAGUAUUAUUUAGUAAUAAUUAUUAAUAGUAGUAUUAUUAGUAUUGUUAUUAGUGUUAGUAUUAUUUAGUAAUUAGUAUUAUUUGUAAUAGAAAGAACUGACUUAAAUUUUCCUCUUCUUUUAAACAAGGAUAUGGUUACUCCACAACAAUUAAAAACUUGAUCUUUUCCAAAUAUAUUUUGAAUAUUAAAAGCCUACUAUAUUUUUAUACCAGUCUUCAGAUUUGUGUAUUCACCUAGCACCCAGUACAGAGUGAUGCAGGUGUGUUCUUGGGAGCCUGAGGUGCCACACCAUAGAAAUAAUGAUUGCUCAUCAGAGUGCUAAUGUUGCUUUGCACUGUUUCAAUAAACUGUAUUGAAUUAACAGCUUCUUGGUAGAGCCACUUAUUUUAGAGGUGUUUUUUCUUCUGGUGCAAUUAUAUCACUGUAGUUUAAAUGGCUAAACCCUGUGAGACACAGGCCAGGCUUCAGAGGUGCUGCAAAUUUAAGCAACAUUUGAUGGAUACUUUGAUAAGUCAAAUGAUCAGCAGUUACUGCUACGAAUAAAACAAGAAUAUUUCUUCAUAUUUGGCUUAGUAUAGUAUCUAAACAAAGGUUCAGGAUUAUGUCUCGGGGACUAAAUUCUUAUUUGGAAGGAACCAGGGAAGUUUCUUCUUUGUUUUUCACUCUGCCACAUUUCUACUGUGCUGGUUGGGGAACCUAACAAUGUCCUUGUGUUAUUUUGAACUUUCCAGCUCCCAUUGGCACCACUUUAUAUAGCACAAAGCAAUUUGUUUUCAUUACAAAGGACAUUAAGGUGAUGUAGCUGAAAUUGUUCUGUGCCCUAAAUCUAUAUAAUUUGUUGCUCUUGAGCUAUUCAGCUCAGCUUCCAUUAGCACAGGCUGACAUCAACAAACCAUUUCAUCUUCCAGGCUGUCACAUCAGGAUUUUUUUACAGCACUGUUAAAACUUCAUUUCAGAAACUGACUGUGACAAAGGAGGGGCUGCAUUAGACACAGUGUCAAUAGCAAUCUGAUUUGCUUCUCAGAAACUUCAUUAGCUAAAAAGAAAUUAGAAAGUGACAUGUGUACAGCAUUGGCAGUUCAAAAACACUGAGAAAUGAAGCGCUCUGACAAAGCAGUGCAUGCCCCAGCAGCAGCACCCUUGGCCACUACCAAUUCCUCAGCAGAGCCAUGACCAUUGCUGGUCCCAUUCUCCAAAUGCCAGGACAACAUUUGUUUGCAGACUGGUGUUCUCUAGAGCUGCAUUAAGGGAUAAAAAUUUUGGAGAGGUACCAAGAUCCUGAUGGUCUUCAUAAUAGCCAAUAGAUAACAAAUCUCUUCGAUGAAGAAAACAGUUUUUUGAGCUGUUUAUUUGUCACUUCUUUAUCCACAUAAUGCUUUAUUAAUAUUGUGUAUUGACAAUUCCUAAUCAGAACGCAAAUAUGGUGCUCAGAAAGAAACCUUGCAAAACUCUAUUAUGUCUUUGCAGUUAUAAAUCAAACACAUAAUCUCCUCAAAGAAUGAAAUAUUCUCUUUGGCAGGUCUUAUCUUCCACAAUUACAUUUCUACUCUUGUCCCUCAGCAUUUUUUUACUUUUUUUGUCUAAAACCCCAACUUGCUGUCCUUCAGUUGCUGAGAGGUGCUAACCUUCUAUUUUUGAAUUUGCUGCCAUAGCAGCCCUCUCCUAGGCUUCACAACCUGCUCAGGAAGACAAGGUUUAUCCAACACAUAGCACAGCAAAGUGGACAUCCUGUCUUUCCUUGUCCCCUGCCCUCCCACCUAUGGCCUUUUGUCACCAUCAUAUUUUCCAGAAAAAUCCCUUCGCCAGGAUUUCUGUCCUGGGAAGCUGAGAAGCCUCAGAGAAAAAGAAAACCAAUAUUAUCUCAUUUUCUUCUCCUGUGUUUUGCUGCUUUGGAAUGUGGUUGUUUAUCCAACAGAUGGUUGUUUCAUUGGUUUCAUGUGAAUUGAUUUUACUUGUUGUCCAAUCACAGCCCAGUUGUGUCGAGACUCUGAAGAGAGAGUCACAAGUUUGUCAGCAGUAUCCUUUAGCCUUCUGCAUGUAUCCUUUCUGUAGUCUUUAGUAUAGUUUAGUAUAGUUUUAGAAUAGCAUUAUAUCAUAUCAUAUCACAUCAUAUCAUAUAAUAUAAUAAAAUAAUAAAUUAUUUUAUC